This 437-nucleotide ribosomal RNA is filed under the name Theileria ovis. Its description in RNAcentral is "SSU rRNA". It matches the Rfam family "Eukaryotic small subunit ribosomal RNA", at positions 451 to 924 of the family's 1831-position model. Lineage: Eukaryota; Apicomplexa; Aconoidasida; Piroplasmida; Theileriidae. The record is from RNAcentral.
UUGACACAGGGAGGUAGUGACAAGAAAUAACAAUACGGGGCUUGAUGUCUUGUAAUUGGAAUGAUGGGAAUUUAAACCUCUUCCAGAGUAUCAAUUGGAGGGCAAGUCUGGUGCCAGCAGCCGCGGUAAUUCCAGCUCCAAUAGCGUAUAUUAAAAUUGUUGCAGUUAAAAAGCUCGUAGUUGAAUUUCUGCUGCAUUGCUUUUGCUCCUUUACGAGUCUUUGCAUUGUGGCUUAUUUCGGACUUUGUUUUACAAUGUCCGGAUGUUUACUUUGAGAAAAUUAGAGUGCUCAAAGCAGGCUUUCGCCUUGAAUAGUUUAGCAUGGAAUAAUAAAGUAGGACUUUGGUUCUAUUUUGUUGGUUUUAGGUACCAAAGUAAUGGUUAAUAGGAACAGUUGGGGGCAUUCGUAUUUAACUGUCAGAGGUGAAAUUCUUAGA